Molecule: non-coding RNA, 189 nt
Organism: Labrus bergylta (ballan wrasse)
Lineage: Eukaryota; Metazoa; Chordata; Actinopteri; Labriformes; Labridae
Source: RefSeq, a predicted model, not a curated record
CUGUUCGUCAUCUGUAAUCACCGGCUGCAGCAUUUAUACCCUGGUUCAACUCUCGCAAGCUGCCAGAUUAUUUCCGCCUACACCGUGUGCCUCCAACUACCGAGCUCCAGCGCCUCACCACCCAGCCUCUCAUUCAAGCCUCACCAGCCUUCACCAGCCUCACGUCAUUAAAUACCCCUUUACCCACUA